RNAcentral lists this ribosomal RNA (429 nucleotides) under Bacteroidota bacterium. Its description in RNAcentral is "Bacteroidetes bacterium partial 16S ribosomal RNA". It matches the Rfam family "Bacterial small subunit ribosomal RNA", at positions 355 to 776 of the family's 1533-position model. The record is from RNAcentral. Lineage: Bacteria; Pseudomonadati; Bacteroidota.
UAGGGAAUCUUCGGCAAUGGGGGGAACCCUGACCGAGCAACGCCGCGUGAGUGAAGAAGGUUUUCGGAUCGUAAAGCUCUGUUGUUAAGGAAGAACGAGUGUGAGAAUGGAAAGUUCAUACUGUGACGGUACUUAACCAGAAAGGGACGGCUAACUACGUGCCAGCAGCCGCGGUAAUACGUAGGUCCCGAGCGUUGUCCGGAUUUAUUGGGCGUAAAGCGAGCGCAGGCGGUUAGAUAAGUCUGAAGUUAAAGGCAGUGGCUCAACCAUUGUAGGCUUUGGAAACUGUUUAACUUGAGUGCAGAAGGGGAGAGUGGAAUUCCGUGUGUAGCGGUGAAAUGCGUAGAAAUAUGGAGGAACACCGGUGGCGAAAGCGGCUCUCUGGUAUGUAACUAACGCAGAGGCUCGAAAGCGUGGGGAGCGAACAGG